GGGUUAAGUCCCGCAACGAGCGCAACCCUCAUCCUUAGUUGCCAUCAUUGAGUUGGGCACUCUAAGGAAACUGCCCCGGUUAACGGGGAGGAAGGUGGGGAUGACGUCAAGUCCUCAUGGCCUUUAUGUCCAGGGCUACACACGUGCUACAAUGGACGGUACAAAGGGUCGCAAUGCCGCAAGGUGGAGCUAAUCCCAAAAAACCGUUCUCAGUUCAGAUUGGAGUCUGCAACCCGACUCCAUGAAGGCGGAAUCGCUAGUAAUCGCGGAUCAGCAUGCCGCGGUGAAUACGUUCCCGGGCCUUGUACACACCGCCCGUCACACCAUGAGAGCUGACUGUACCAGAAGCCGCUAGGCUAACCUUGAGUUCGUCUUGAGGGCGCAGGCGCCUAAGGUAUGGUUGGUGAUUGGGGUGAAGUCGUAACAAGGUAACC
This 434-nucleotide ribosomal RNA is filed under the name uncultured bacterium. RNAcentral's name for it is "bacterial SSU rRNA". It matches the Rfam family "Bacterial small subunit ribosomal RNA", at positions 1077 to 1501 of the family's 1533-position model. The record is from RNAcentral.